This 460-nucleotide ribosomal RNA is filed under the name uncultured bacterium. RNAcentral's name for it is "partial 16S ribosomal RNA". It matches the Rfam family "Bacterial small subunit ribosomal RNA", at positions 338 to 795 of the family's 1533-position model. The record is from RNAcentral.
CCUACGGGGGGCAGCAGUGAGGAAUAUUGGUCAAUGGACGAGAGUCUGAACCAGCCAAGUAGCGUGAAGGAUGACUGCCCUAUGGGUUGUAAACUUCUUUUAUAUGGGAAUAAAAUGUUCCACGUGUGGGAUUUUGUAUGUACCAUAUGAAUAAGGAUCGGCUAACUCCGUGCCAGCAGCCGCGGUAAUACGGAGUAUCCGAGCGUUAUCCGGAUUUAUUGGGUUUAAAGGGAGCGUAGGUGGAUUGUUAAGUCAGUUGUGAAAGUUUGCGGCUCAACCGUAAAAUUGCAGUUGAAACUGGCAGUCUUGAGUACAGUAGAGGUGGGCGGAAUUCGUGGUGUAGCGGUGAAAUGCUUAGAUAUCACGAAGAACUCCGAUUGCGAAGGCAGUUCACUGGACUGCAACUGACACUGAGGCUCGAAAGUGUGGGUAUCAAACAGGAUUAGAUACCCGGGUAGUC